This 323-nucleotide ribosomal RNA is filed under the name uncultured eukaryote. Its description in RNAcentral is "partial 18S ribosomal RNA". It matches the Rfam family "Eukaryotic small subunit ribosomal RNA", at positions 1470 to 1796 of the family's 1831-position model. The record is from RNAcentral.
CCCUUAGAUGUUCUGGGCUGCACGCGUGCUACACUGAUAUUGCCAAUAUGUCAUUCUUAUCCGAAAUGGAUUGGGUAAUCAAGUAAUGAAAUUUCAUGCUUGGAAUCGGUAAUUGCAAUUUUAUCGUGAACGAGGAAUUCCUAGUAAGCACUAGUCAUCAGCUAAUGUUGAUUAUGUCCCUGCCCUUUGUACACACCGCCCGUCGCUACUACUGAUUGGGUGUUCGAGUGAGAUGCUUAGACCCUUGUUGCAUGGUUCAUUAUUGUGCUCCGAAAGGAAAAAGUUUCAAGCUUGAGUGUCUAGAGGAAGUAAAAGUCGUAACA